UGAGAGUUUUGGUCCUGGACUUUCCGUUAUUUAUGAUUAAGAUUACACAUGCAAGUAUCCACACUCCAGUGAGUCCGCCCAAUCACUAUAGGAGCAGGCAUCAGGCACAACCCAUCUUAUCAGCCCAUAACGCCAAGAUAUCCACACCCACACGGGUAUUCAGCAGUGACCAAUAUUAGGCUAUGAGCUAACGCUCGACCUAGCUAUACUCCAAGGAGUCGGCAAACUUCGUGCCAGCCGCCGCGGUUAUACGAAGUGACUCCAAAUAACGAACAGCGGCAAAAAGCGUGAACACACACAUUCAACACACUAAGCAUCAACUGGAACUAAUACGUAAAACCAAAGCCCAAUUUGAACACCAACACAGAGCUUAAACACUAGAAUUCAAAACUCACGAAAACUGAGAAACAAACUAGGAUUAGAUACCCUACUAUGCUCAAUCGUAAACAUCGAUUUUACUUUGACCCGCCAGAGAACAACGAGCAAAGCUUAAAACCCAAAGGACUUGGCGGCGCUUCAUAUCACCCUAGAGGGGCCUGUCAUAUAAUCGAUAACCCACGAUACACCUUACCACCUUUAGCCAGUACAGCCUAUAUACCGCCGUCGCCAGCCCAUCUUGAUAGAGGAAUAAAAUGGACCAAAAAGUAUUUAUACUCAUACGACAGGUCAAGGUGUAGCUUAUAAGAUGGUAAAUGAUGGACCACAUUGCUUAACAAAGCUAUACCAAAACUGCACUGAAACACACACUUUAAGGUGAAUUUAACAGUAAGACAAACAAGAAAAUCUGUCUAAAGUAUGCUCUGGAGCGUGCACACACCGCCCGUCACCCUACUUUACUCACAACCCACAAGCAUAUUACAACAACCAAAACAAGAGUAGGAAAGUCGUAACAAGGUAAGCGCACCGGAAGGUACGCUUGGAAGA
Molecule: non-coding RNA, 924 nt
Filed under: Chamaeleo arabicus (Arabian chameleon)
Lineage: Eukaryota; Metazoa; Chordata; Lepidosauria; Squamata; Chamaeleonidae
Source: RNAcentral